CCUACGGGAGGCUGCAGUGGGGGAUAUUGCACAAUGGGGGAAACCCUGAUGCAGCGACGCCGCGUGGGUGAAGAAGCGCCUCGGCGCGUAAAGCCCUGUCAGCAGGGACGAAAAUGACGGUACCUGAAGACGAAGCCCCGGCUAACUACGUGCCAGCAGCCGCGGUAAUACGUAGGGGGCAAGCGUUAUCCGGAUUUACUGGGUGUAACGGGAGCGCAGACGGCGAUGCAAGCCAGGAGUGAAAGCCCGGGGCCCAACCCCGGGACUGCGCUUGGAACUGCGUGGCUGGAGUGCAGGAGAGGCAGGCGGAAUUCCUGGUGUAGCGGUGAAAGGCGUAGAUAUCAGGAGGAACACCGGUGGCGAAGGCGGCCAGCUGGACUGCAACUGACGUUGAGGCCCGAAAGCGUGGGGAGCAAACAGGAUUAGAGACCCCUGUAGUC
This 440-nucleotide ribosomal RNA is filed under the name uncultured bacterium. Its description in RNAcentral is "partial 16S ribosomal RNA". It matches the Rfam family "Bacterial small subunit ribosomal RNA", at positions 338 to 795 of the family's 1533-position model. The record is from RNAcentral.